AAUAAAGGAAAGGAAAGAAAGGAAAGCCUUAAAUUUCGAAAACCCUCCCCUUCUCUUCACAAAAAUUGUCACUGCACUUCCCUCACAGCAAUCUUUCUCAAUCUCUCCACUGCCAUUGCCAACGCCGGCGACUUCUGCGAUUGAACGCCGACCAGCCAAAUGCACUGCUACCACCUCUUGUCGACGUCUUCCCCCUCACUCUCAGGUUUUAUUUUCCCAUCACGCGUUCGGGUUUCCAUCUUUUCCUUAUGCCCCAUCUCCGAUUGUCGCCCUCCUCCUCUUUGUUUCAAUUCCCCUUGUUUCUCCCCAUCUCCGUCUGCUACCGCAACUCACGCUUCUUAGUGCCUCUUUUCUUUCUCUCUCUUCUUCCCUUUCUUUUUUACUGUUAAUUUUUUCCUCGCUUGCACACGGAUCUCCUUCCUUACCCAAGCGUCAUUUCGCCAUCGCUGUCGACGGUGAUUAGAAUAGAGUGGGCUUCCAUUUAUAGUGUCGUGUGGAAGUCAGCUGCUUAUAUCCUUGGUUGGCUCCAUUUCGACUUCAUCCUAUUUUGACUUUAGAUUCAGCUCAAGUGACUAUGGAGGCUCCAGCAAAGGUCUUCAGUACUGAAGGUGAUGCUCUUGGCGAGACUUGGCAUAUGGUCUUUAGUACUGAAGGUAAGUUUGUGACAAAAAGAAACAAGUAGUACAUCAAGAAUGUGGGAAAUCGUAGAAACACAUAAUAUUUUCAAAGGUGAAGGAUUACCGGUUGGUUGUUUAUGCUUGUACAAAAAAUCAUGUUAUAUGUAUUAUGAUGAUAUUUACACUGGUUUUGAUUAAGGACUGUAAUUUCAUACUUGUAAAUUGUUCAAACUUGAUUGUAAAUGUACGAAUAUUACAAAGCGUAUUAUAUUAGAGUGUCGACCAUUUGUUUCUA
This is a long non-coding RNA of Cucumis sativus (cucumber), 912 nucleotides long. RefSeq lists it as uncharacterized. The transcript is spliced from 3 exons. Lineage: Eukaryota; Viridiplantae; Streptophyta; Magnoliopsida; Cucurbitales; Cucurbitaceae. The record is from RefSeq and is a predicted model, not a curated record.